Molecule: ribosomal RNA, 439 nt
Filed under: uncultured Adhaeribacter sp.
Lineage: Bacteria; Pseudomonadati; Bacteroidota; Cytophagia; Cytophagales; Hymenobacteraceae
Description: bacterial SSU rRNA
Rfam family: Bacterial small subunit ribosomal RNA
Source: RNAcentral
CCUACGGGGGGCAGCAGUAGGGAAUAUUGGGCAAUGGGCGCAAGCCUGACCCAGCCAUGCCGCGUGCAGGAAGACGGCCUUCUGGGUUGUAAACUGCUUUUGAAUGGGAACAAAAGUCCCUUGCGAGGGGUAAUGAGUGUACCAUUAGAAUAAGCACCGGCUAACUCCGUGCCAGCAGCCGCGGUAAUACGGAGGGUGCAAGCGUUGUCCGGAUUUAUUGGGUUUAAAGGGUGCGUAGGCGGUUUAUUAAGUCAGUGGUGAAAGGCUGCAGCUCAACUGUAGCAUUGCCAUUGAUACUGAUAAACUUGAGUACAGACGAGGUAGGCGGAAUUGAUAGUGUAGCGGUGAAAUGCAUAGAUACUAUCAAGAACACCGAUUGCGAAGGCAGCUUACUAGGCUGUAACUGACGCUGAGGCACGAAAGCGUGGGGAGCAAACAG